This 5083-nucleotide long non-coding RNA is filed under the name Populus tremula. RNAcentral's name for it is "long non-coding RNA (PTRE_LNC003276)". Lineage: Eukaryota; Viridiplantae; Streptophyta; Magnoliopsida; Malpighiales; Salicaceae. The record is from RNAcentral.
UUAUUUAAUUAAUUAUGUUAUGUUGAUUUAGUCAUAAUGGACCUAGUCUUUAGGAUGUGUUUAGGUGGCUAAGAAAGUGGUGAUUGUGUUGCUAGAAUCAUGGGUUAGUGGGUUAAUGGUGAUGUGGGAUAGUGGGUUCAUUAUACACAUGUAAUGCCUAUUUAUAGGCUCUUUAUCUUUAAUUGAAUAUUAAGCCAAGCAUUCAUUUUUUAUUAUCAGUGGUAUCAGAGCCUAAACACCCUAAAAUUCCUUAAUCCCUUUCAAUUUACUUGUACGCAGCCGAGAGUGCAAGACAGCCCAAAUAAUCCAAGCCACACAAACCAACCGACCUGUCACUCGUGCACUUUUACAAUCGAGAGAAAGAACCAAAAAUCCCAAAUCCUCCUGCACUUUCCAUCGUGACCAUCCGAAAGGAGAAACCCAUCCCAAUCUUUUUCAAAUUCCAGUCAUCGUGAGCUGCAGAGAGAAUCGAGAGAAACCCACUCAAAUUCCAUCAAAUCCCGUUUUUUUAUCUUGAACAAAGAACCUUGUCCCUGCUGUCGUGAGCAAAGAGAGAAACCCACUCAAAUUCCAUCAAAUCCCGUUUUUUUUAUCUUGAACAAAGAACCUUGUCCCUGCUGUCGUGAGCAAAGAGAGAAACCCUCCAUUUUUCAUCGCGAGCAGACGAGAGUAACGAGAGAAUCAAUGGCAGAAUCAACCUUUGUUCAAGCAGCCAUCCCACGUUUUGAUGGUCAUUAUGACCAUUGGAGCAUGUUGAUGGAGAAUUUCCUUCGGUCCAAGGAGUAUUGGCCGAUUGUUGAAGCUGGAAUUGAAGCUCCAACAGUGACUGCAGUCAUGACCGAGGCUCAAAAAACAGAGCUGGAAGGGAGAAGGCUAAAGGAUUUGAAGGCGAAAAAUUAUUUGUUUCAAGCAAUCGAACGUCCCAUUUUGGAAAAAAUUCUUAGCAAAGAAACUUCCAAAGACAUAUGGGACUCCAUGAAGCUGAAAUAUCAAGGAUCGACAAGGGUGAAGCGUGCACAACUUCAGGCCUUGCGACGAGACUUUGAGACUUUGCAGAUGCAAAUUGGGGAACCAGUCACAAAUUAUUGUUCCAGGACGAUGGAGAUAUGCAACAAGAUGAGGUUUCAUGGUGAGAAGAUGGAUGAUAAUGUGAUUGUUGAAAAGAUUUUGCGUUCACUGUCCCCAAAAUUUGAUUAUGUGGCUUGUUCAAUCGAAGAGUCCCGGGAUGUGGAAAAACUCUCCAUUGAUGAGCUGCAGAGCUCACUGCUUGUGCAUGAGCAGAAAAUGCUUCGGGGCUCACAUACAAAUGAGCAGGCCCUAAAAGCUACAAAUUAUUCUAAUUCCUCAAAUUUCCGAGGAAGAGGCAGAGGGAGAGGCAGAGAUGGGAACCGAGACAGGGGAGAUAAUUACAGAAACCAAUUUAGGGCUGUGGAUAAUUUUGGCAGAGGCAAGGGAAAUUUUAGGGGUGUUGAGGGGAACCGAGGAAAUUUUAGGGGUGUUGAGGGUCAAAACAGAGGCAAAGGUGACAAGUCUAAGAUCGAAUGUUUUCGAUGUCAUAAAUUUGGGCAUUACCGAUCUGAGUGUUAUGCCAGGAUACCUAGUGACAAAGCUGAAAUGUCACAUUUUGCCGAGAGAAGGGAAGAGGAAACUCUGCUAAUGGCUGUGGAGACAACCCAGAAGCAGAAGCAGGGGUCUCGGGAGCAGCAGCAGGGGUCUGAAAUUUGGUUUGUGGAUACGGGCUGCAGCAAUCACAUGUGUGGGUGUAAGUCUUCUUUUAUUUACUUAAAUGAAGAUUUUAAUUCGACAGUAAGUUUUGGUGAUAACUCUACUGUGAAUGCAUUAGGAAAGGGUGAUAUUGAGAUUAGAACCAAGAAUGGUUUUGUAGAAACAAUUUCUGAUGUGCUUUAUGUACCUGAUUUAAAAAGCAAUUUAUUGAGUGCUGGUCAAUUGCAAGAAAAGGGGUAUGAGAUGAUUAUAAAGAAUGGUGUUUGUGAAAUUUAUGAUCCUUUAAGAGGGUCAAUUGCUGUAGUGAAAAUGAGUAGGAAUAGGCUGUUUCCAUUAGAAAUUGUGAUAUCACAGCCCUGUUUUAUUGCUGAAAUUGAGAACCCAACAUGGCUUUGGCAUUUCCGUUAUGGCCAUUUGAAUUUUAGUGGCCUAAAAACUCUUCAGCAGAAGAAUAUGGUGAAAGGGCUUCCUGAAAUUGACAUUCCUGCACAAAUAUGUGAAGAUUGUGUUGUUAGCAAACAACAUCGUUCUCCAUUCCCUCAAGGCAAAUCGUGGAGAGCAAAGCAUGCUCUUGAAUUGGUGCACUCGGACAUUUGUGGACCGAUUAGUCCAUCUUCAAAUGGAGGUAAAAAGUAUCUAAUCACCUUCAUUGACGAUUUUACUCGGAAGACAUGGGUUUAUUUUUUACAGCACAAGGCGGAAGCUUUUUAUGUGUUUCAAAGCUUUAAAGCUAAAGCUGAAAAUGAGGCGGGGAAGCUCAUUAAGACUCUCCGAACAGACCGUGGUGGUGAAUUUUGUUCAACUGAAUUUGAUGUUUUUUGUGGAGAGCAUGGCAUUCGCAAGGAAUUAACAGCUAGCUAUACACCACAGCAGAAUGGUGUAUCCGAAAGAAAAAACAGAACAAUCCUCAACAUGGUGAGGAGCUUGCUAGCUAGAGGAAAAAUCCCAAAGGAAUUUUGGCCGGAAGCAGUAAAUUGGAGUAUUCAUGUGCUGAAUAGAAGCCCUACUUUUUCAGUCCAGAACAUGACACCUGAAGAAGCAUGGAGUGGGAGGAAACCUAAUGUUGAGUAUUUCAAAUUUUUUGGGUGCAUAGCCUAUGCACAUGUCCCGGAUGAGAAGAGAAAGAAGCUAGAUGAUAAGGGUGAAAAAUGUGUGUUUCUCGGCAUGAGUGAGUGCUCCAAAGCCUAUAAAUUGUACAAUCCUCUUACAAAAAGGAUUGUGACCAGCCGUGAUGUUGUGUUUGAUGAAGUGAAAACUUGGGAUUGGGAUAGGCAGCAGCCUAUACAUGCUGAUUUGGAAAUGGACACUGAUUUGGAGCCAACAGCAGCAGCCAUUUUGCAGCAGCCUUGCUCAGAAACAACUGCUGAAAUUCACUCAACAACAGGAGCAGCUGCUGGAAAUUUCCCACCCACGGCAGUAGCUCCACCUUGUCCUCGUAUCCGUAAAAGGCCUACUUGGAUGGAAGAUUAUGAGGUAAAUGGAAUUGAAGAUCCAGUUACCUAUUUUGCUUUGUUUGCAGAUUGUGAUCCCAUGACCUUUGAAAGUGCUGUCAAAGAAGGAAAAUGGAGAAAAGCAAUGGAUGAUGAAAUUGAUGCUAUUGAAAGAAAUGACACUUGGGAACUUACUGAUCUGCCACCAGGACACAAAUCCAUUAGCGUAAAAUGGAUUUUCAAAACCAAAUUGAAGGCAAAUGGUGAAGUUGAUAAGUAUAAGGCGAGAUUGGUGGUCAAGGGGUAUAAGCAAGAGUAUGGAAUUGAUUAUACGGAGGUCUUUGCUCCUGUUGCAAGACAUGAUACAAUUCGGUUGAUAAUUGCAUUGGCUGCACAGAAUUCAUGGCCUAUUUUCCAGCUUGAUGUCAAAUCGGCAUUCUUGCAUGGAAACUUGGAGGAGCAGGUAUUUGUUGAUCAACCUCUUGGUCAUAUUAAGAUUGGAUGUGAGGAUAAAGUAUAUCGUUUGAAAAAGGCUCUUUAUGGUUUAAAACAAGCUCCACGAGCUUGGUAUAGUCGUAUUGAGUCUUAUUUCUUAAGAGAAGGAUUUCAUAAGUGUCCAUAUGAGCAUUCAUUAUUUGUUAAAAUUGGAGAUGGGGGGAAAUUGCUUAUUGCUUGCUUAUAUGUUGAUGAUCUUUUAUUUACUGGAAAUGAUGCUGAUAUGUUUAAGGAUUUCAAGAGUUCUAUGAUGAUUGAAUUUGAAAUGUCCGAUCUUGGGUUGAUGCAUUACUUUCUUGGCAUAGAGGUGAUGCAAACUGUAAAUGGCAUUUUUAUUUCUCAAAAGAAAUAUGUGCAUGAUAUUCUGGAAAGAUUUCAGAUGAAGGAUUGCAAUCCUGUUAGUACUCCGACUGAAUUUGGUUUGAAGCUCAACAAAGAUCAUGAAGGGAAGAAAGUGGACAACACACUUUACAAGCAAAUUGUUGGCAGUUUAAUGUAUUUAACUGCAACAAGACCUGAUAUUAUGUAUUCUGUAAGUCUAAUCAGCAGGUACAUGGAAAAUCCCACAGAAAUGCACUUGCUAACAGCCAAGAGAAUCCUUCGUUACUUGCAAGGAACUAAGGAUUUUGGGUUGUUCUACAAGAAAGGAGAAAAGAUGGAGCUGGUUGGGUUUACUGACAGCGAUUAUGCAGGUGAUCAAGAUGACAGGAGAAGCACCUCGAGUUUUGUUUUUAUGAUGGGCACAGGUGCGGUUUCGUGGUCUUCGAAAAAGCAACAAAUUGUUACUUUAUCCACCACCGAAGCCGAAUUUAUUGCUGCCACAGCUUGUGCUUGUCAAGCUAUUUGGAUAAGAAGAAUUCUUGAAGAACUACAGUUUCCGCAAAUUGGAGCUACAACGGUAUUUUGUGAUAACAACUCAGCUAUCAAACUCUCCAAGAAUCCGGUGUUACAUGGAGAAGCAAGCACAUUGAUGUGAGAUACUACUUCUUGCGAGAUCUCAAUAAUGAUGGCAUGAUCAAUCUAAUUUAUUGCCGUAGUGAAGAUCAAGUUGCUGACAUACAAACCAAACCUCUUAAACUUGCUGCAUUUGUGAAAUUGCGUGGUUUACUUGGAAUGUGUUCGCAAUCAGCAGUAAUUAAGAGCAUUGAAGAAGGAUGAUUUCUUUUAAACUGAUAUCUGCAGAUUUCAGUUUAAGGGAGGGUGUUAAAGUUUAUUUAUUUAAUUCAUUGUUUUAUUUAAUUAUUUAUGUUAUGUUGAUUUAGUCAUAAUGGACCUAGUCUUUAGGAUGUUUUUAGGUGGCUAAGAAAGUGGUGAUUGUGUUGCUAGAAUCAUGGGUUAGUGGGUUAAUGGUGAUGUGGGAUAGUGGGUUCAUUAUACACUAUGUAAUGCCUAUUUAUAGGCUCUUUAUCUUUAAUUGAAUAUUAAGCCAAGCA